CUUCACUUAUCUCAGAUGAUUUUAUUCAGUGUUUUCGUAAGUUGGAAAAGUUUGACUGGCACAGGAAAGCAUGUCCCAUUAAAUUAGCAAAUCUUGUAAUGGAAUUAAAGUUGUUCUGGUCAGACUCUGUGAGGCUUUCCAUAUCUGGCACUACAUAGCCUACUCAAAGCUAUUUCCCACUGUAGUCCACCUAUACCUGCUAACCAGGGUAUCUCUUCACUGUCCCACUGAGGUGACUUUCUGAUGUCACAGUCAUGUAGACUGUUUCCUCAUAAGAGUUACUCUCGGCCGGGCACGGUGGCUCACACCUGUAAUCCCAGCACUUUGGGAGGCCAAGGCAGGCGGAUCACAAGUUCAUGAGAUCGAGACCAUCUUGGCCAACAUGAUGACCGAGAAGCAAGGCUGAGAGAGGUGGAAGCACUCACCCAAAGUUACACAGCCAGGAAAAGACAGAGCCAGGCUGUACUGCAAAAUGCUGGUUUCUGCAGCAGCCUCUCUGCAACCUGAGGGCAGCAAUGCCGACAGGCAGCAAGCUGCAGGCACACUUGACAGAUGUGAAGAUCUGGGUUCUGGGGAUGCUGUUGAGCUGCUCGAUGAGCCCACUUUGGACCUGCCCUACCGCCAGACUUUUUGUGAUCCAAGUGCAAGGAAAUUACAGGGCUAUCAACUCUAUCUCUUUCCAAGACCAGAAAGUCGGCAGAUGGAGAACGGUUUCUAGAUGGGGAGGGAAUCUGCCUUUGGAACUUUUAGCGACCUGGUAUGGUUCAACAUUCCAUCACUAUGCAAAAAUAAAUAAAUAAAUUGCAGACCAACGUACAAAGG
RNAcentral lists this long non-coding RNA (822 nucleotides) under Homo sapiens (human). RNAcentral's name for it is "HSALNT0342953". The record is from RNAcentral. Lineage: Eukaryota; Metazoa; Chordata; Mammalia; Primates; Hominidae.